Molecule: non-coding RNA, 67 nt
Organism: Potamilus streckersoni
Lineage: Eukaryota; Metazoa; Mollusca; Bivalvia; Unionida; Unionidae
Source: the annotation of a GenBank genome assembly
GUGGCCCAGUGGUUAGAGUGACAGCCUUGGAUGCAGGAGGUCGUGGGUUUGAUCCCUGGCCAAGUCA